AGUUACUUAGCUUAAUUAUUAAAGCCUGUAUUUUGAAAAUACAUGAUUAGAUAUCUCUCUAGUAACUU
RNAcentral lists this transfer RNA (68 nucleotides) under Heterophrynus longicornis. RNAcentral describes it as "tRNA-Ser". Lineage: Eukaryota; Metazoa; Arthropoda; Arachnida; Amblypygi; Phrynidae. The record is from RNAcentral.